This 357-nucleotide unclassified non-coding RNA is filed under the name soil metagenome. RNAcentral's name for it is "partial contains 5.8S ribosomal RNA, internal transcribed spacer 2, and large subunit ribosomal RNA". The stretch from base 1 to 120 matches the Rfam family "5.8S ribosomal RNA", at positions 35 to 154 of the family's 154-position model. The record is from RNAcentral.
GAUGAAGAACGCAGCGAAAUGCGAUAAGUAAUGUGAAUUGCAGAAUUCAGUGAAUCAUCGAAUCUUUGAACGCACAUUGCGCCCGCUAGUAUUCUGGCGGGCAUGCCUGUUCGAGCGUCAUUUCAACCCUCAGGCCCCCAGUGCCUGGCGUUGGGGAUCGGCCGCUGGCGUCCUUCGGGGCGCCUGGCCGGCCCCGAAAUCUAGUGGCGGUCUCGCUGUAGUCCUCCUCUGCGUAGUAGCACAACCUCGCAGUUGGUACUCGGCGGUGGCCAUGCCGUUAAACACCCCACUUCUGAAAGUUGACCUCGGAUCAGGUAGGAAUACCCGCUGAACUUAAGCAUAUCAAUAAGCGGAGGA